This 494-nucleotide ribosomal RNA is filed under the name uncultured bacterium. RNAcentral describes it as "partial 16S ribosomal RNA". It matches the Rfam family "Bacterial small subunit ribosomal RNA", at positions 28 to 507 of the family's 1533-position model. The record is from RNAcentral.
GACGAACGCUGGCGGCGUGCUUAACACAUGCAAGUCGAACGGAAAGGCCUGCUUUCCCUUGUGGAUUGCGGGUACUCGAGUGGCGAACGGGUGAGUAACACGUGAGUGAUCUGCCCCCAACUUGGGUAUAAGCCUGGGAAACUGGGUCUAAUUCCCGAUAGGACUGCAGGGUGGUACCUGUGGUGGAAAACGAUUUUCUAGUGGUUGGGGAUGAGCUCGCGGCCUAUCAGCUUGUUGGUGGGGUAAUGGCCUACCAAGGCGGCGACGGGUAGCCGGCCUGGGAGGGUGGACGGCGUCAUUGGGACUGGGAUACGGCCCCGACUCCUACGGGAGGCAGCAGUGGGGAGUAUUGCGCAAUGGGCGGAAGCCUGAUGCAGCGACGCCGCGUGGGGGAUGACGGCCUUCGGGUGGUAAACUCCUUUCGACCGCGAGGAAGCCACCUGGUUGGAAGGGUGGUGACGGUAGUGGUAGAAGAAGCACCGGCUAACUACGUG